GGCUCUGUGGCGCAAUGGAUGGCGUGUUUGACUUCUAUUCAAAGGUUGUGGGUUCGAGUCCCACCAGAGUCG
This is a non-coding RNA of Nerophis lumbriciformis (worm pipefish), 72 nucleotides long. Lineage: Eukaryota; Metazoa; Chordata; Actinopteri; Syngnathiformes; Syngnathidae. The record is from the annotation of a RefSeq genome assembly.